GCCCGACUGGCCCAGUGGUUAAGGUGUGCUUUGCAUGCACAAGGUCCGGGGUUCGAUUCCCAGGUUGAGCA
Molecule: non-coding RNA, 71 nt
Organism: Aspergillus niger ATCC 1015
Lineage: Eukaryota; Fungi; Ascomycota; Eurotiomycetes; Eurotiales; Aspergillaceae
Source: Rfam